This 505-nucleotide ribosomal RNA is filed under the name uncultured bacterium. Its description in RNAcentral is "bacterial LSU rRNA". It matches the Rfam family "Bacterial large subunit ribosomal RNA", at positions 671 to 1174 of the family's 2925-position model. The record is from RNAcentral.
GCGAAAGCGAGUCUUAAUAGGGCGUAUAGUUGCUGGGGUGUAGACCCGAAACCAGAUGAUCUACUCAUGGCCAGGAUGAAGCGAGGGUAACACCUCGUGGAGGUCCGAACCCACUAAUGUUGAAAAAUUAGGGGAUGAGCUGUGGGUAGGGGUGAAAGGCUAAACAAAUCUGGAAAUAGCUGGUUCUCUCCGAAAACUAUUUAGGUAGUGCCUCAUGUAUCACCUUUGGGGGUAGAGCACUGUUAUGGCUAGGGGGUCAUUGAGACUUACCAAACCAUUGCAAACUCCGAAUACCAAAGAGUGCGAGCAUGGGAGACAGACAUCGGGUGCUAACGUCCGGUGUCAAAAGGGAAACAACCCAGACCCUCAGCUAAGGUCCCCAAGACACAAUUAAGUGGGAAACGAAGUGGGAAGGCAUAGACAGUCAGGAGUUGGCUUAGAAGCAGCCACCCUUUAAAGAAAGCGUAAUAGCUCACUGAUCGAGUCGUCCUGCGCGGAAGAUGGU